Molecule: long non-coding RNA, 149 nt
Filed under: Chinchilla lanigera (long-tailed chinchilla)
Lineage: Eukaryota; Metazoa; Chordata; Mammalia; Rodentia; Chinchillidae
Description: lncRNA (ENSCLAG00000025583.1)
Source: RNAcentral
CCGCUAUCUGCCUUCUGAACCACUACCGGCUCUUCUGCACAUUCUUGUCUUCUCUGUGCUCGCCCUGCGCCUGACAGGCUUUCGGGAGUCUCCACUACAACUUUAGGUUGCCUUUAUCCUAUAAACAGUGUAGAGCUAGCAGAACAACA